This 227-nucleotide ribosomal RNA is filed under the name uncultured eukaryote. RNAcentral describes it as "partial small subunit ribosomal RNA". It matches the Rfam family "Eukaryotic small subunit ribosomal RNA", at positions 1208 to 1456 of the family's 1831-position model. The record is from RNAcentral.
GGGAAACUCACCAGGUCCAGACAUAACUAGGAUUGACAGAUUGAUAGCUCUUUCUUGAUUUUAUGGGUGGUGGUGCAUGGCCGUUCUUAGUUGGUGGAGUGAUUUGUCUGGUUAAUUCCGAUAACGAACGAGACCUUAACCUGCUAAAUAGACAGGCCGGCUUUUGCUGGUCGCCGUCUUCUUAGAGGGACUGUCAGCGUCUAGCUGACGGAAGUUUGAGGCAAUAA